RNAcentral lists this transfer RNA (92 nucleotides) under Lentisphaerales bacterium. Its description in RNAcentral is "tRNA-Ala". It matches the Rfam family "tRNA". Rfam says of the family: Transfer RNA (tRNA) molecules are approximately 80 nucleotides in length. Their secondary structure includes four short double-helical elements and three loops (D, anti-codon, and T loops). The record is from RNAcentral. Lineage: Bacteria; Pseudomonadati; Lentisphaerota; Lentisphaeria; Lentisphaerales.
GGAGGGGUGGCUGAGUUUGGCUGAAAGCGCAUGACUCGCAAUCAUGUUUGCCUUUACCGGCAACGGGGGUUCAAAUCCCUCCCCCUCCGCCA